Molecule: long non-coding RNA, 482 nt
Filed under: Sorghum bicolor (sorghum)
Lineage: Eukaryota; Viridiplantae; Streptophyta; Magnoliopsida; Poales; Poaceae
Description: long non-coding RNA (SBIC_LNC016572)
Source: RNAcentral
UCCAGGAUCAGAACUGAAAAUAUUUCUUAUUAACUGUGGUUUGUGGAAUAACACUAAACCAGUCAAUUACAAGCAUAUGCCGACCAAAAUGGAGCACCGAUAGGCUGAACUGGAUAUAGCUGACCACAGUUCCAAUCCCCUCCGCGUAGUUUUGCGGGUUCGCGCUUCAACCUAGCCUGCAAGCUAAGCCGGUCACACGCACACAACUAUCCAUUGACGCGAAACGCGCGGCACAAUUUUCCUGACCCCUGCUUGUUCACCUGAGGAAGAGGAACCCCUCACUACGAAAGGGAGGAUGGUGCACCGCGGAAGGGAGGAUGGCGUAAGGGAAGCUCACCUGGUGUUCGACGAAACACCGCCGCGCUGGCGGCUGAGGCGGCGGCGGCGGCGGGUCGGCGUCAGGGUUUCAAAUUGAAAAAAGCUGGGAGCCUGGGAGGCCGACCCGGGCCGGCGACGGGGCAGCCGCAGACUUUGGGUCUGUU